AAUCCAUAGGUUAAUGAGGCGAACCGGGGGAACUGAAACAUCUAAGUACCCCGAGGAAAAGAAAUCAACCGAGAUUCCCCCAGUAGCGGCGAGCGAACGGGGAGGAGCCCAGAGCCUGAAUCAGCAUGUGUGUUAGUGGAAGCGUCUGGAAAGGCGCGCGAUACAGGGUGACAGCCCCGUACACAAAAGCGCAUGUGCUGUGAGCUCGAUGAGUAGGGCGGGACACGUGGUAUCCUGUCUGAAUAUGGGGGGACCAUCCUCCAAGGCUAAAUACUCCUGACUGACCGAUAGUGAACCAGUACCGUGAGGGAAAGGCGAAAAGAACCCCGGCGAGGGGAGUGAAAAAGAACCUGAAACCGUGUACGUACAAGCAGUGGGAGCACCCUUUGGGUGUGACUGCGUACCUUUUGUAUAAUGGGUCAGCGACUUAUAUUCUGUAGCAAGGUUAACCGAAUAGGGGAGCCGGAGGGAAACCGAGUCUU
RNAcentral lists this ribosomal RNA (482 nucleotides) under Salmonella enterica. Its description in RNAcentral is "partial 23S ribosomal RNA". It matches the Rfam family "Bacterial large subunit ribosomal RNA", at positions 161 to 685 of the family's 2925-position model. The record is from RNAcentral. RNAcentral also lists the same sequence under 1 other name. Lineage: Bacteria; Pseudomonadati; Pseudomonadota; Gammaproteobacteria; Enterobacterales; Enterobacteriaceae.